This 253-nucleotide ribosomal RNA is filed under the name uncultured bacterium. RNAcentral describes it as "partial 16S ribosomal RNA". It matches the Rfam family "Bacterial small subunit ribosomal RNA", at positions 524 to 776 of the family's 1533-position model. The record is from RNAcentral.
UACGUAGGGUGCAAGCGUUGUCCGGAAUUAUUGGGCGUAAAGAGCUCGUAGGCGGCUUGUCGCGUCGACUGUGAAAUCCCGCGGCUCAACUGCGGGUCUGCAGUCGAUACGGGCAGGCUAGAGUUCGGUAGGGGAGACUGGAAUUCCUGGUGUAGCGGUGAAAUGCGCAGAUAUCAGGAGGAACACCGAUGGCGAAGGCAGGUCUCUGGGCCGAUACUGACGCUGAGGAGCGAAAGCGUGGGGAGCGAACAGG